UGAGGAAUAUUGGUCAAUGGACGAGAGUCUGAACCAGCCAAGUAGCGUGAAGGAUGAAGGUCCUACGGAUUGUAAACUUCUUUUAUAAGGGAAUAAACCCUCCCACGUGUGGGAGCUUGU
RNAcentral lists this ribosomal RNA (120 nucleotides) under uncultured bacterium. RNAcentral describes it as "16S ribosomal RNA". It matches the Rfam family "Bacterial small subunit ribosomal RNA", at positions 355 to 472 of the family's 1533-position model. The record is from RNAcentral.